UGAUGCAGUUUGAGCUUUUCUCUUCCCAGCAGGUUUGCGAAUCACAUUAAGCUCUUCUGGUGACCUGGGAGGCUAGUUUAGAAGGUGUUCUACCCUGAGCGAGAGGGUAUUUGACUCUUGGACUGUCUUCGACUGGCAUUGGAGGGCCUUUUGGAAACUUAAUUUGAGCAGCGUCGAGGCUCCGUUGAGCAGGGUUCGGGACUCCUUUUGGCUGGAUUGAGCUUGGUGAUAGCUUGCAAUAUCGAAGAUGCACCCUACGGCGACUGAGACAUCCGACCCCGAAAGACGUGCUCCUUCUGAAUUUAGCGAGAUUCGGGAAUUAAAAGAGCAGCUGGCUACUCUAGUUGGAGUGGUGGAGCGACAAGCGAAUGUGACGCUACUUCAAGCCGAGGCUUUGCGCCGACAGGAUGAAGGAAUCAGACGGUUGGAGACCCUCUUGAUUCAACAGACGGCUGAUCUCAAGAAAUGCCACGAGGUUUCGGAUCGUACUUUGACCGUAAGAAAAGGUGUGGAAUACACUGAAAGAGCCAAAGAGGCUACCAAGGGCGAUCAAUUACAUGUCGGGGAAUCAUCAAGGAAACUAAAGAAGAAUCAACCUUGGAAACGUGGUUCUUUUUCUAAGCGAAGAAGAUCG
Long non-coding RNA from Ananas comosus (pineapple), 634 nucleotides. RefSeq lists it as uncharacterized. Lineage: Eukaryota; Viridiplantae; Streptophyta; Magnoliopsida; Poales; Bromeliaceae. The record is from RefSeq and is a predicted model, not a curated record. The transcript is spliced from 4 exons.